This 106-nucleotide small nucleolar RNA is filed under the name Olea europaea subsp. europaea. Lineage: Eukaryota; Viridiplantae; Streptophyta; Magnoliopsida; Lamiales; Oleaceae. The record is from RNAcentral.
AAACUAUGUUGUGGGCACUAGCGAGCAAUCCCUUGUAUCUUUCCCGUACCUCUUAAUAAAAUUCCAAAUCAAACUACGAAAAUAUGGUGAUUUCUUUUUUUCUUUU